This 115-nucleotide ribosomal RNA is filed under the name Nephroselmis pyriformis. RNAcentral's name for it is "partial Bacterial large subunit ribosomal RNA". The record is from RNAcentral. Lineage: Eukaryota; Viridiplantae; Chlorophyta; Nephroselmidophyceae; Nephroselmidales; Nephroselmidaceae.
UAAGGCGAGUCCGACAGGCGUAGUCGAUGGACAACGGGUUGAUAUUCCCGUACCGGCGAAGAACCGCCCCUACCGAACCGGGGACACUAACCACCCGAACCGCACCCGAUGCCGG